UACGAAGGGGGCUAGCGUUGCUCGGAUUCAUUGGGCGUAAAGGGUGCGUAGGCGGCGCGGUAAGUCGGGUGUGAAAUCUCGGAGCUUAACUCCGAAACUGCAUUUGAUACUGCCGUGCUUGAGGACUGGAGAGGAGACUGGAAUUUACGGUGUAGCGGUGAAAUGCGUAGAUAUCGUAAGGAAGACCAGUGGCGAAGGCGGGUCUCUGGACAGUUCCUGACGCUGAGGCACGAAGGCCAGGGGAGCAAACGGG
This 253-nucleotide ribosomal RNA is filed under the name uncultured bacterium. Its description in RNAcentral is "partial 16S ribosomal RNA". It matches the Rfam family "Bacterial small subunit ribosomal RNA", at positions 524 to 776 of the family's 1533-position model. The record is from RNAcentral.